This 1389-nucleotide ribosomal RNA is filed under the name Staphylococcus aureus. RNAcentral describes it as "bacterial SSU rRNA". It matches the Rfam family "Bacterial small subunit ribosomal RNA", at positions 1 to 1371 of the family's 1533-position model. The record is from RNAcentral. Lineage: Bacteria; Bacillati; Bacillota; Bacilli; Caryophanales; Staphylococcaceae.
UUUAUGGAGAGUUUGAUCCUGGCUCAGGAUGAACGCUGGCGGCGUGCCUAAUACAUGCAAGUCGAGCGAACGGACGAGAAGCUUGCUUCUCUGAUGUUAGCGGCGGACGGGUGAGUAACACGUGGAUAACCUACCUAUAAGACUGGGAUAACUUCGGGAAACCGGAGCUAAUACCGGAUAAUAUUUUGAACCGCAUGGUUCAAAAGUGAAAGACGGUCUUGCUGUCACUUAUAGAUGGAUCCGCGCUGCAUUAGCUAGUUGGUAAGGUAACGGCUUACCAAGGCAACGAUGCAUAGCCGACCUGAGAGGGUGAUCGGCCACACUGGAACUGAGACACGGUCCAGACUCCUACGGGAGGCAGCAGUAGGGAAUCUUCCGCAAUGGGCGAAAGCCUGACGGAGCAACGCCGCGUGAGUGAUGAAGGUCUUCGGAUCGUAAAACUCUGUUAUUAGGGAAGAACAUAUGUGUAAGUAACUGUGCACAUCUUGACGGUACCUAAUCAGAAAGCCACGGCUAACUACGUGCCAGCAGCCGCGGUAAUACGUAGGUGGCAAGCGUUAUCCGGAAUUAUUGGGCGUAAAGCGCGCGUAGGCGGUUUUUUAAGUCUGAUGUGAAAGCCCACGGCUCAACCGUGGAGGGUCAUUGGAAACUGGAAAACUUGAGUGCAGAAGAGGAAAGUGGAAUUCCAUGUGUAGCGGUGAAAUGCGCAGAGAUAUGGAGGAACACCAGUGGCGAAGGCGACUUUCUGGUCUGUAACUGACGCUGAUGUGCGAAAGCGUGGGGAUCAAACAGGAUUAGAUACCCUGGUAGUCCACGCCGUAAACGAUGAGUGCUAAGUGUUAGGGGGUUUCCGCCCCUUAGUGCUGCAGCUAACGCAUUAAGCACUCCGCCUGGGGAGUACGACCGCAAGGUUGAAACUCAAAGGAAUUGACGGGGACCCGCACAAGCGGUGGAGCAUGUGGUUUAAUUCGAAGCAACGCGAAGAACCUUACCAAAUCUUGACAUCCUUUGACAACUCUAGAGAUAGAGCCUUCCCCUUCGGGGGACAAAGUGACAGGUGGUGCAUGGUUGUCGUCAGCUCGUGUCGUGAGAUGUUGGGUUAAGUCCCGCAACGAGCGCAACCCUUAAGCUUAGUUGCCAUCAUUAAGUUGGGCACUCUAAGUUGACUGCCGGUGACAAACCGGAGGAAGGUGGGGAUGACGUCAAAUCAUCAUGCCCCUUAUGAUUUGGGCUACACACGUGCUACAAUGGACAAUACAAAGGGCAGCGAAACCGCGAGGUCAAGCAAAUCCCAUAAAGUUGUUCUCAGUUCGGAUUGUAGUCUGCAACUCGACUACAUGAAGCUGGAAUCGCUAGUAAUCGUAGAUCAGCAUGCUACGGUGAAUACGU